AUUGAACGCUGGCGGCAGGCCUAACACAUGCAAGUCGAACGGUAACAGGAAACAGCUUGCUGUUUCGCUGACGAGUGGCGGACGGGUGAGUAAUGUCUGGGAAACUGCCUGAUGGAGGGGGAUAACUACUGGAAACGGUAGCUAAUACCGCAUAACGUCGCAAGACCAAAGAGGGGGACCCUCGGGCCUCUUGCCAUCGGAUGUGCCCAGAUGGGAUUAGCUUGUUGGUGGGGUAACGGCUCACCAAGGCGACGAUCCCUAGCUGGUCUGAGAGGAUGACCAGCCACACUGGAACUGUGACACGGUCCAGACUCCUACGGGAGGCAGCAGUGUGGAAUAUUGCACAAUGGGCGCAAGCCUGAUGCAGCCAUGCCGCGUGUAUGAAGAAGGCCUUCUGGUUGUAAAGUACUUUCAGCGGGGAGGAAGGGAGUAAAGUUAAUACCUUUGCUCAUUGACGUUACCCGCAGAAGAAGCACCGGCUAACUCCGUG
This 490-nucleotide ribosomal RNA is filed under the name uncultured bacterium. RNAcentral describes it as "partial 16S ribosomal RNA". It matches the Rfam family "Bacterial small subunit ribosomal RNA", at positions 30 to 507 of the family's 1533-position model. The record is from RNAcentral.